GCCGGGCGUGGUGGCGGGCGCCUGUAGUCCCAGCUACUCAGGAGGCUGAGGCAGGAGAAUUGCUUGAACCCGGGAGGUGGAGGUUGCAGUGAGCCGAGAUCGCGCCACUGCACUCCAGCCUGGGCAACAGAGCAAGACUCCGCCUCAA
Molecule: non-coding RNA, 148 nt
Filed under: Pan troglodytes (chimpanzee)
Lineage: Eukaryota; Metazoa; Chordata; Mammalia; Primates; Hominidae
Source: Rfam by way of RNAcentral